UUACCCUCAGGAUCACAACUGGAGAGUUUCCAGUACUCUACCAGUUUUGGCUACAGGAGUGAGAGUCAAGCAGAGGCCUCCUCAUUUCAUUCCUAGCUUGGGCAGUGGUUAGCGAGUGGCAGGCAAUCUGCUACAAGU
This 138-nucleotide small nucleolar RNA is filed under the name Ornithorhynchus anatinus (platypus). The record is from RNAcentral. Lineage: Eukaryota; Metazoa; Chordata; Mammalia; Monotremata; Ornithorhynchidae.